RNAcentral lists this ribosomal RNA (253 nucleotides) under uncultured bacterium. RNAcentral's name for it is "partial 16S ribosomal RNA". It matches the Rfam family "Bacterial small subunit ribosomal RNA", at positions 524 to 776 of the family's 1533-position model. The record is from RNAcentral.
UACAGAGGGUGCAAGCGUUACUCGGAAUUACUGGGCGUAAAGCGUGCGUAGACGGUAGCGUAAGUCGGGUGUGAAAGCCCCGGGCUCAACCUGGGAAUUGCAUUCGAGACUGCUCUGCUAGGGUGCGGAAGAGGGAAGCGGAAUUUCCGGUGUAGCGGUGAAAUGCGUAGAUAUCGGAAGGAACACCAGUGGCGAAAGCGGCUUCCUGGUCCAGCACCGACGUUCAGGCACGAAAGCGUGGGGAGCAAACAGG